UACGGAGGAUGCGAGCGUUAUCCGGAUUUAUUGGGUUUAAAGGGUGCGCAGGCGGCACGGCAAGCCGGCGGUCCAAUCGCGGGGCUCAACCCCGCCCAGCCGUCGGAACUGCCGGGCUAGAGUGGGCGAGAAGUGCGCGGAAUGCGUGGUGUAGCGGUGAAAUGCAUAGAUAUCACGCAGAACUCCGAUUGCGAAGGCAGCGCACCGGCGCCCUACUGACGCUCAGGCACGAAAGCGUGGGUGUCGAACAGG
This 252-nucleotide ribosomal RNA is filed under the name uncultured bacterium. RNAcentral describes it as "partial 16S ribosomal RNA". It matches the Rfam family "Bacterial small subunit ribosomal RNA", at positions 524 to 776 of the family's 1533-position model. The record is from RNAcentral.